This is a non-coding RNA of Mus caroli (Ryukyu mouse), 2864 nucleotides long. The record is from RefSeq and is a predicted model, not a curated record. NCBI's taxonomy places the organism in Eukaryota, Metazoa, Chordata, Mammalia, Rodentia, Muridae.
GAACUGGCCAGAGAGACCCAAGGGAUAGUCAGGGACGGGCAGACAUGCAGCUAGGGUUCUGGGUCCUGGACAGGGGCAGCCAGGCCCUGUGACGGGAAGACCCCGAGCUCCGGCCCGGGGAGGGGCCAUGGUGUUGCCUGUCCAACAUGUCAGCCGAAGUGCGGCUGAGGCAGCUCCAGCAGCUGGUGCUGGACCCAGGCUUCCUGGGACUGGAGCCCCUGCUCGACCUUCUCCUGGGCGUCCACCAGGAGCUGGGUGCCUCUCACCUAGCCCAGGACAAGUAUGUGGCCGACUUCUUGCAGUGGGUGGAGCCCAUUGCAGCAAGGCUUAAGGAGGUCCGACUGCAGAGGGAUGACUUUGAGAUUUUGAAGGUGAUCGGGCGUGGGGCGUUCAGCGAGGUAGCGGUGGUGAAGAUGAAACAGACGGGCCAAGUGUAUGCCAUGAAGAUUAUGAAUAAGUGGGACAUGCUGAAGAGAGGCGAGGUGUCGUGCUUCCGGGAAGAAAGGGAUGUAUUAGUGAAAGGGGACCGGCGCUGGAUCACACAGCUGCACUUUGCCUUCCAGGAUGAGAACUACCUGUACCUGGUCAUGGAAUACUACGUGGGCGGGGACCUGCUAACGCUGCUGAGCAAGUUUGGGGAGCGGAUCCCCGCUGAGAUGGCGCGCUUCUACCUGGCCGAGAUUGUCAUGGCCAUAGACUCGGUGCACCGGCUGGGCUACGUGCACAGGGACAUCAAACCAGAUAACAUUCUGCUGGACCGAUGUGGGCACAUUCGCCUGGCAGACUUCGGCUCCUGCCUCAAACUGCAGCCUGAUGGAAUGGUGAGGUCGCUGGUGGCUGUGGGCACCCCGGACUACCUGUCUCCUGAGAUUCUGCAGGCCGUUGGUGGAGGGCCUGGGGCAGGCAGCUACGGGCCAGAGUGUGACUGGUGGGCACUGGGUGUGUUCGCCUAUGAAAUGUUCUAUGGGCAGACACCCUUCUACGCGGACUCCACAGCCGAGACAUAUGCCAAGAUCGUGCAUUACAGGGAACACUUGUCGCUGCCGCUGGCAGACACAGUUGUCCCCGAGGAAGCUCAGGACCUCAUUCGUGGGCUGCUGUGUCCUGCUGAGAUAAGGCUAGGUCGAGGUGGGGCAGGUGAUUUCCAGAAACAUCCUUUCUUCUUUGGCCUUGAUUGGGAGGGUCUCCGAGACAGUGUACCCCCCUUUACACCAGACUUCGAGGGUGCCACGGACACAUGCAAUUUCGAUGUGGUGGAGGACCGGCUCACUGCCAUGGAGACACUGUCGGACAUGCAGGAAGACAUGCCCCUUGGGGUCCGCCUGCCCUUCGUGGGUUACUCCUACUGCUGCAUGGCCUUCAGAGACAAUCAGGUCCCGGACCCCACCCCUAUGGAACUAGAGGCCCUGCAGUUGCCUGUGUCAGACUUGCAAGGGCUUGACUUGCAGCCCCCAGUGUCCCCACCGGAUCAAGUGGCUGAAGAGGCCGACCUAGUAGUGGCUGUCCCUGUCCCUGUGGCUGAGGCAGAGACCACGGUCACGCUGCAGAAGCUCCAGGAAGCCCUGGAAGAAGAGGUUCUCACCCGGCAGAGCCUGAGCCGCGAGCUGGAGGCCAUCCGGACCGCCAACCAGAACUUCUCCAGCCAACUACAGGAGGCCGAGGUCCGGAACCGAGACCUGGAGGCGCAUGUUAGGCAGCUACAGGAACGCAUGGAGAUGCUGCAGGCCCCAGGAGCCGCAGCCAUCACGGGGGUCCCCAGUCCCCGGGCCACGGAUCCACCUUCCCAUGCUUCUCGCCAAAUCCUCCCCAAGGGAACUCCCUAGACUCCCGUUCUGGCCUCGACUAGAUUCCCGCACUGCCUCUCGCCCUGCUGCUGGGCUCCGAUCGGGUCACCUGUCCCUUCUCUCUCCAGCUAGAUGGCCCCCCGGCCGUGGCUGUGGGCCAGUGCCCGCUGGUGGGGCCAGGCCCCAUGCACCGCCGUCACCUGCUGCUCCCUGCCAGGAUCCCUAGGCCUGGCCUAUCCGAGGCGCGUUGCCUGCUCCUGUUCGCCGCUGCUCUGGCUGCUGCCGCCACACUGGGCUGCACUGGGUUGGUGGCCUAUACCGGCAGUCUCACCCCAGUCUGGUGUUUCCCGGGAGCCACCUUCGCCCCCUGAACCCUAAGACUCCAAGCCAUCUUUCAUUUAGGCCUCCUAGGAAGAUCGAGUGGCCAGGGAACGACCCAAAGCGUCUCUAUGCCCACCCCACCCCCCCUCACCGCUCCGCUCCACACUUCUGUGAGCCUGGGUCCCCACCCAGCUCCGCUCCUGUGAUCCAGGCCCGCCACCUGGCGGCCGGGGAGGGAGGAACAGGGCUUGUGCCCAGCACCCCUGGUUCCUGCAGAGCUGGUAGCCACUGCUGCUGCAGCAGCCGGGCAUUCGCCUACCACGCUUUACUCAGCCCCGACGUGGAUGGGCAAACUGCUCAGCUCAUCCGAUUUCACUUUUUCACUCUCCCAGCCAUCAGUUACAAGCCAUAAGCAUGAGCCCCCUAUCUCCAGGGACAUCCCAUUCCCAUAGUGAAGGAUCUGCAAGACCUCUGCCAGCACACACGGAGUCUUUGGCUUCGGACAGCCUCACUCCUGGGGGUUGCUGCAACUCCUUCCCCGUGUACACGUCUGCACUCUAACAACGGAGCCACAGCUGCACCCCCCCCCCCCAAGCAGUGUGGGUAUUUAUUGACCUUGUUAUCUGACUCACUGACAGACUCCGGGACCCACGUUUUAGAUGCACUGAGACUCGACAUUCCUCGGUAUUUAUUGUCUGUCCCCACCUACAACCUCCACUCCCGUCCCUUGCGAAUAAAAUACUUCUGGUCUGCCCUAAA